RNAcentral lists this ribosomal RNA (438 nucleotides) under uncultured bacterium. Its description in RNAcentral is "partial 16S ribosomal RNA". It matches the Rfam family "Bacterial small subunit ribosomal RNA", at positions 339 to 795 of the family's 1533-position model. The record is from RNAcentral.
CUACGGGCGCUCCAGUGGGGAAUCUUGGACAAUGGGCGCAAGCCUGAUCCAGCCAUGCCGCGUGAGUGAAGAAGGCCUUAGGGUCGUAAAGCUCUUUCGCCAGAGAUGAUAAUGACAGUAUCUGGUAAAGAAACCCCGGCUAACUCCGUGCCAGCAGCCGCGGUAAUACGGAGGGGGUUAGCGUUGUUCGGAAUUACUGGGCGUAAAGCGCGCGUAGGCGGAUUAGUCAGUCAGAGGUGAAAUCCCAGGGCUCAACCCUGGAACUGCCUUUGAUACUGCUAGUCUUGAGUUCGAGAGAGGUGAGUGGAAUUCCGAGUGUAGAGGUGAAAUUCGUAGAUAUUCGGAGGAACACCAGUGGCGAAGGCGGCUCACUGGCUCGAUACUGACGCUGAGGUGCGAAAGUGUGGGGAGCAAACAGGAUUAGAUACCCCGGUAGUC